UAGCAUCGAGUCCUUCUGCUUGGGGCA
This 27-nucleotide non-coding RNA is filed under the name Homo sapiens (human). Lineage: Eukaryota; Metazoa; Chordata; Mammalia; Primates; Hominidae. The record is from RNAcentral.